Bos taurus (domestic cattle) is the source of this 462-nucleotide long non-coding RNA. Lineage: Eukaryota; Metazoa; Chordata; Mammalia; Artiodactyla; Bovidae. The record is from Ensembl.
CAGCAUACAGGUCAAAUAAAGUGUUCCAGUCCAUCCGUGUGUGCUGGUCGGAGGGCCUGUUCUACAAUGCAGGGUUCAAACCUGCACUCCCUGCAUUGGAAGGCGAAGUCUCAACCACUGGACCACCAGGGAAGUCCCACAGACGUUUGUUUUUAAUGGAAAAAGAGCCACAGAUUGGAUAUGAAGACACUGGAGCUUGUAUCUAGAUCUGCACCCUGGCUGUGUGACCUCAGGCUGGUGGCACCAGCAAGGGAGGGACCUAUUCAGCAGGCUGUGAAGAACAACGCAGGAGUGAAGGAUCCAGUGGUUAAGACUUCGCCUUCCAGUGCAGGGAGUGUGGGUUCUAUCCCUGAUCAGGGACCUAGGAUCUCACAUGUUUCCCAGCCAAAAAACCAGAGCAUAAAACAGAAGCGAUAUUGUAACAAGUUCCAUAAAGACUUUAAAAAUGGUCCACAUCAAGAA